GGGCGCCCCACCCCACCGCGCCCCCAUAGGCAGUGGGCGCAGACGCAGGCUUGAUCGGCCCUCUCUGGUUGUUUCUGCCCAACCCAUCUCUUUCCUUCUUCUGUAUUCUGUCGUUUUCUUCUUGGAACACAAUUUCCGUUUCUUGUUUCUAAGUACACUUUUCUUUUUUCAAACCCGAGUGUAAGAGCCUUCUAGGAGGCCGAAGAACUAUGCUGGUGAAACAGUUUCCAGAGGGGAUGCGUGCACGCAUAUACACCGGGAGGGAGAGAAGACAGAACUUCUGUUAAGGCCACUGUAUGGGAGAGAUGGAGAAAGUGUUCUAGGCAGAGGCCAGAUCUAUGUAAAGGCCCAGCAGCAAGAAAGAAAAGAAACUGUGGCUUAGAGGGAGAAAAAUGGCUUCAAGAUAAAAACUGGAGAGCUAUAGGAUCAAAUGAGGCUUUAAGGACCAGAGUAAGGACUGGCCUUUCCAGUUGAGGCCUGAGGGCAGCAAGUAGCUCGGGGGAGGGUGGGGUGUCAAGCUGGUCCUGGCUGGGUCACAAAGCUGGGACCUAUGAUCCAGGCUUUGAAGUGUCGAGGCAAGUAGCCACCCAGAACUACUGGGUGGGGCUGAGAGAUAGAGAAGGGAACUGAAAUUCAUAAAGGAGAGAUGGGCACGCAAAGCAGAAGUGAUCAGAACGAAGGCUACACUUGGGCAAAAGAGGAUAUGCAGUAGGCUUCAGAAAUGAGUCCUCAUCUUGGCCAGGACCAGGAGACCUCAAAGUCAGCACACAGAUUCAAGCCCUGCUUUGUCUGUAUGGGACCCAGGGCAUUGGAUAUGGAGACAAAGAUGGAUGCUCCUCACCCAAAUCCCAGGCAUCAUGGCACACACCAGCCUGAGAUUCAGAUAUUGACACCUUCGUGCACACAGAUCUCAGAUUCUACUGCUGUUCUUGGCACCAGAGACCCAAUCCCAAGAGUAUACCUUGUGGAGGUCAAUUUACAUUGUCAACAUGCAGCAGGACCAGCUUUCCAAGCUCCCUGGAUCACAAUGGACUCUAUCUCCUCACACCACAAGUCAAAAUAACCCUUCCUUCAUUAAAUUACAUUUGUAAGGUA
Molecule: long non-coding RNA, 1095 nt
Organism: Mesocricetus auratus (golden hamster)
Lineage: Eukaryota; Metazoa; Chordata; Mammalia; Rodentia; Cricetidae
Exons: 3
Source: RefSeq, a predicted model, not a curated record